GCGCGGGUGCUGAAAUUGGUAGACAGGCUACCUUGAGGUGGUAGUGCCCCUAGGGUGUGGAGGUUCAAGUCCUCUCCCGCGCACCA
RNAcentral lists this transfer RNA (86 nucleotides) under Candidatus Zambryskibacteria bacterium RIFCSPHIGHO2_01_FULL_35_32. RNAcentral describes it as "tRNA-Leu". It matches the Rfam family "tRNA". From Rfam's summary of the family: Transfer RNA (tRNA) molecules are approximately 80 nucleotides in length. Their secondary structure includes four short double-helical elements and three loops (D, anti-codon, and T loops). Further hydrogen bonds mediate the characteristic L-shaped molecular structure. tRNAs have two regions of fundamental functional importance: the anti-codon, which is responsible for specific mRNA codon recognition, and the 3' end, to which the tRNAs corresponding amino acid is attached (by aminoacyl-tRNA synthetases). tRNAs cope with the degeneracy of the genetic code in two manners: having more than one tRNA (with a specific anti-codon) for a particular amino acid; and 'wobble' base-pairing, i.e. permitting non-standard base-pairing at the 3rd anti-codon position. The record is from RNAcentral. Lineage: Bacteria; Candidatus Zambryskiibacteriota. RNAcentral also lists the same sequence under 1 other name.